CCCAAAGUGCUGGGAUUACAGGUUUGAGCCACCGCGCCCGGCCAAGGACCAGUUUUCAACAAAAAGCACAAGACGUUCAAAGAAACAGGAAAACAGGUACCAUUCAAUGGAAGAAACUGACAAAACCGAGAAUUCUAAAAAUAGCCCUUCAAAAAUUAGAGUUAAGGCUUGCUAUCGUGGCUCAUGCCUGUAAUCCCAGCACUUUGGGAGGCCAAGGCGGGAAGAUUGCUUGAGGCCAGGAGUAUGACACCAGCCUGGGCAACACUGUGAGAACCCCGUGUCUACACAAAAAGCACACAGAAAAAAUGAGCUGAGUGUAGUGGCGCGCACCUGUAAUCCCAGCUACUCAGGAGGCUGAGGCAGGAGAAUCGCCUGAGCCUGGGAGGCAGAGCUUGCAGUGAGCCAAGAUGGCGCCACUGUACUCCAGUCUGGGCC
Homo sapiens (human) is the source of this 435-nucleotide long non-coding RNA. The record is from Ensembl. NCBI's taxonomy places the organism in Eukaryota, Metazoa, Chordata, Mammalia, Primates, Hominidae.